AAGUGCAUGUGCUUUCUGGGGGCCGCCACCAUGGAGCCUCUUAUCCCCAAACCCUGGUCCUUGUGACUGCCCUACGAUGAGAAUCUGUGAAGUAGAAAUGAGUGUCACAUCCUCACUCCCCAAAAAAUCCACCAGCAAAUAAUACUCUGUGAUACUGUGAGACAAGAAAAGUUUAUUUGGUCUCUUGCUCGUUUCCUGGCACAGAGCUCUUAAACCCUUGGCGUUCACGAUAGGUGACCAAGUCCUUUUCAGCCACACCCGAGUUCGUGUUCAUACUAGUGAGGUGCCUUUACUUUGUUUUGCUUUCUGCUUUUGUUUUUCUUGUGCGUUGCCAGGGUCUUGCACAUGCUGGGCUGCACCACAUCCCAGGGUCACCACAUCCCUGGAUCACCUCCAUGAUCCCAGGUAGCCUCAGGAAUGGGACUGAUUUCCAAUGAACAGAGGGUUCAGCUCCCAGUCCUGACUCCUGUCCUCCCUUCCGCAUUUCCCCACCAGUGACCGACUUAGGCCCAGGUAAAGCAGCUGUCCUAAAACAACAGGGCUCAGAGAGUUUCUGAGUUGUAAGUUUAAUACCCAUCACUGUCCCCCAGGACCUGGUGCUGCUUUCUGAGGAAGCCCUGUCCUUGGUGUGACCCCUAGCUAGGCUGUCACAGCACUACUCGCUUCCUGAGGAAGACAAGGUGCAGCAUCAGAGAAUCUCAGGCUCCAGAGUACUCGGGCUCCUCUCAUCACACUUGUUUUUUGUUAAUAAUAGAUAGGUUUAUUAUUACAUAUCCAUCAGCACCUCGCUUCUUUUUUGUGCUCUGUGGUAGGGGGAAAUUAGUCUGGCACCAGCUCCGCCUGCAUGGUUUGUGUCAGUAAGACCUCUUUGUUGCCCCAUGUGGGCUGUCAGGAGGCCCUUACUUUGCGACUUGAGAGGAAAAGGAAGCCCAGGAUGAGGCGCUGUGGUCCCUGCUGCCUGGGAGAUUCCUGGACACAUUAAAUCCGAGUCAACAGAAAUCCGACACGAGUGCGCCUCCUGGUGUAAAUAACCAGAAUAACCAUGCUCCCUGCUAGAAUGCAGCUGCCGCUGGGCGGGCCCCUAUGCACCCCUGGGUUGCCACCAGGCAGACUUAAGGGACUGAGGACAGGCACGGGAGCGACUGGAUGGAUGGACGGUGGUGAUCAUAAGCUGAGCAGCUGAGAAGAAAGACACGUCAGACAUUCCACAGCUCUGCAUCUCUCCUCUGGACUGCCUGUGUCCCAAGUGAUUCUCCAGUUUGAACUAGUGACAUACCUGAACUUCAAACUGAGGCUGGAAAGCUGGGCGUAGUAUGUACACCUGUCAUCCUAGCACUCGAGAGGCUGAGGCAGGAGGAUCAUGAGUUCAAGGCUAGGUUGUACUAUAUACUGAGUUCUUGUCUCCAAAAAACAAAAAUAAAUUGAGUUUGGAUAUGUGGUCUGGUGGUAAACACUUACCUAGCAUAAGGCACUAAGUUCCAGCACCAGCACACAAAAUAGUGUAGCUCAUUAAAAUGUACAGAAACAUGUAUAUGCAUUUGUAGAAAUUAGCAAGCUGUCCUUGUGAUGUGUGUGUUUUACAAUUUAAAUAUUUACUCCAAUAGAAACUGUUUUUUCUUUUUUCCAGCACUGGGGAUGGAACCCAGGGCCUCACACAUGCUAGGUGAGCACUCACCAUCAAACUAUACCCCAGCCCAAUAAAAAAAUUUUAAACACUCCAGGAACAAUACACUUACUGAGAUCAUUUCUAAUAUCCAGGCUUGAUAAGUGGCAAAGCUCAUAAUUGAGCAAUAAAUAUAACUGAAAAUUUGUAGAUGUUUCAUUUCUAAGUGUUUUUUUGAGUUUUUUUCAUUUUUAAUUGCAGUACUACAGAUGGAACACAGGGAGCACUCCACCACUGAGCUAUAUCCCCAGCCCGUUUUAAAUUUUAUUUCUAAACAGGGUCUUACUAAGUUGCCUGGUCUGGCCCUGAUUCAGCCUGCUCAGUAGCUAGGAUACUAGGCCUGCACCAUUGUGCCACCCUUUUCAAGGUUUGUUUUUCAGUUUUGCUUUGGUUUUGUGAUAUAAGGAAUUAAAUCUAGGACUUUUGCCCUGAGCUACCUCCCCAGAUUGCUCAUUAUUUUUUUUUUUUAUAUUGACACAGACUUUGCUAAGUUAAUAAGUUCCUCAGGCUGGGCUCAAGCUUGCGAUCCUCUUGCCUCAGCUUUCUAGGGGACUGGGCCACUGGUGUGCACCACCACACCAGCUGUAAGAUUUUCUUACAUUUACAAAAUGUGUAAGUCACUAGGAAGAGGAGUGAAUGUAGAGUUAGAAGCCUUCGGUUAUAUUAUUUCUGCUGCUUAUUGGCUGUUUAUAUGAGCUUGGCCAGUGGCCUUUCUCCUCCUCAGUGGCCUUGUCUAUAGAAUGGGGAUCACAAUACUUGCUCUGCUGGUGCCUCAGAAACACUGACAGCCAGCCAGUGACACAUGAUUGGAGGCCAACAGCCCCCGGUCAGGGCACCACCCCUCCCAGUUGGUCCCUGCCUGGGCCCUGUCCCCUCACUGCCUGCACCUCAGGGCGUUCUCCAUGAGGGUUGGAGAUGCUGCACUCAGUCACGGAGGACAGUGUCCCCUUCUGUCUUUGCCUGACUUGGUUAUUUUGAGAUAAAAUGAGACUGAAUUGGAGUUUCCAAAACUUUAAAACUAGAUUUUUAGAAACCUGAAAGACCAUGAAAUCUUAGGAGGUUUUUUGGUGGUUUCUUGGUUUUGGCUUUUCAUUAAUAGUGUAGGGUUUUUCUAUGGUGUGUGUGUAGUUUUUUUUUUUGUCUGUUUUGGGGAAUGUUGAACCCAAUAACUGCACACCCUCACCCAACCUCAGAUUUUACCUAACAUUAUUCCUAUAAGAUGAAAAUAAUUCAAGACAAGGCGGAUCAACUAUAUGCAUAUGAAGCAAAACCUCACCCUUCUCAGUUAACUCAGAAAAGAAAAUAUUACUGAUAGCAGUCGUUAUCCUUGAAGUUUAUUAAGUUUCUAGACAAGAAAAUUAGAUGAGAGACAGUGAUAUAACUCAGUGCAACACAUAUUUAGUGUGUAAGAGACUCUGGGCUCAAUCUGCAGUGCCAAAACAAAAGAAAAAAACUGGUUUAUCUUUCAAAAAAAACUGAAAAUGGCGAAUGGUUAUUCCCACUCCUGCCCCACCUGGCCCCCUCCCGUGGCAUCUGUUGUCCAGACCUCUCGGCCAUGACAGUCAAAUGACUUUGAACCUGAGGUGACAACAGAUACUAAUCAGACAAGCAAAUCUGGUGAAAAGGGACAGGGCCUUUUCCUUUCUUUCUACCUCUAUUUUUCUUUCCUUGUUGCUUUCAUAGAGUACGGGGGAUUGAACAUAGAACCUCAUGUGUACCAGGCAAGUGCUGUAUGACUGGGCUGCACCCUGGUGGUGUUUUAUUUUUGAUUUUGAAACAGCAUCUUGUUAAACUGCCCAAGCUGGCCUAGUGUUCAGCCUUCCUCAUAGCUGGGAGUAUAUGUGUGUUCCACCAAGAUCAUCUUAAGUGAGAGCAUGAGAAGGAAAAAUGAGGAUACGAGUUUGUUUUUUAUGAUUUAAAAGGAGUUACAUUUUCUAAAUCUCCAAAAUUGUCAUCUUGCAAAUUCAAAUCAGAUUUCUCAAUUGCUAGACAGUUAAGUCUUUAAAAGGAGUUAAGGAUGUUAAAAAGGAGUUAAAGUUAAAAAGACAGACAUUUCUGGGGAAAGUUGAGUGUCAUUAAGUUCUGUCAUACUUUAUUACCUGCUUAGCCUGUGAUUGAGGCGCUGUCCAGAUUUGUUUCUAAGACCGCCCCUCUCCUGAGUAAGUUACGGGCUGUGUGUGCAUGUGUGUGUGUACUGCUGAGCAGGUCACCACAGGGCAGCAGCCUGAGCCUUACAACGCCUUUCAAGUUAAAAACCAUAGAGUUUAAAGUAGUUACUAGAAUGUGAUGGAUAAUCCUUUGUAAAUUUUUUAAAAAUCUAAAAUAAUUUUAUCUAACUUUGGAUGUUUGUUUUCACAUUGCUUUUAGUAUGCAGAUAAUUUUGCUUGUGUGUGAGGUUUUAGUUUGGUUGGAUUUUUUUAACUUGCUUGAAUCUUAAAAGCAUUCAGUUUAACUGCUAUUUUGCCACUUUGUUAAGAAGACUUUAACAUAUUCUUUGUUGUAUGUUUUCUUUGCUAAUCAUUUAGCUUUAUUUUUUGUAAUGGCUUUAUGGAGCUUUAAUUCACAUAGUGUGUAAGUCAGGCAUUUAAAGCAUACAGUUCCAUGUUUCUUUGGUGUAUUUAUAGUUGUGUGACUGUCUCUGGGUUGUAGCUUUAUUGGUUUACGUUUUGUAGUUAAAGAAACCCCAGUGGUACAAGAUGCCCAAAUGGCAAGUGGAAAACCUCCCUUCCUCCUCUGGGCUUACCCGGCUGUCAGCCAACUUUGGGCGGCAGCCUUUGAGGCACAGGGCUAGGCCAUUCCCUUCAGUACUGAAAAGACACAGUUUCUUCUCUGUGCUGCCAGGUGGCUGUCCUCGAGGAGCCCUGUCCCAAGUAGGGAUGCUGGCCUGGCGCUCUAUUUGUUUCUUCCUCCUCCAGCAGGGGUGCUGGGAACAGCCCCACUGGGAGACUGGCCCUUUGGUGGAAAAGCUCUGAGGAGUGUUUGAGUCUUUCAAAGUGAGGCAGGGUUGUGACUAAGACCCUGCUGUUUACAAUUCAAGUGGCUUGUCCCCGCCACUGUCAUAGUGGAGCUAUGUGUGGCUUUUCUUUAUUCCAGUCUCACAAAUCUCUCCUUUGACAAUCCCUCCCACCAUCGCCCCUUCCGCUCUUCAGCCAAGAUCCUGGCAUAGCACUAGUGUCAUCAGUGCAGUGAGGCAGGCGUUCCCAGGAGGCACAAAGAGCUAUUCACCGCCUCAGGCUCUUCUCUCAGCCUCUGGCAGCACCCCCGGCACGCCCGGGCUUUUCCCUCCCACACAAAUCACGCUGCAGCUGAGAAAGUUCCUAGUGCACCUUGCUCCGAAGAGCCAGGUCUCAAAGUAGCAGAUUCUCCUGAAUUGCCACUUCUCCUUUGAGUAAGGACACUUGCCUCUGUACUCUCUUAAUUUUCAACAGCAAACGGACUGCCUUCUUACAGCCUAAGUUGAACAACACUCUUGGAGAACAAGUGGGGUUUUGGUUAACUAGGAAAAUUCUCCCAAAUUUAUCCUUUUCUCUGUCUUUGAAUUGUUAGCAUUUCAGAAUAGCUUCUAAUGUCACUGGGUUUAAAGCCUUAGAGAUUAAAAGAGAGAUGGCUGGAGUGAGGGGAGCAGAGAAGGUGUAGAGUUAUUGAGAAGGACCUGGAGGUGGAGGUAGCAAGGGGAGGUGGGUGGUAAUAGAGAAGCAUCACAGGGAACAGGGUCCUGGCCUGCCGUGCAGCCGCUGUGCUUCUGGAGAAAACAUGCAACUUCCCUGGCCUUCAGUUUCUCCGUCAGUAAACUGAGGAAACUGGACUCCUAGAUCAAUAAUUGCAUAUGAAAUGCAAGGCUUUAGAAAGUUAGUCAAGGAAUAAACAUAAGACUUAUUUUAGGACCUUAAAGUUGGGGGCUAAGGUAUAGCUCAGUGGUAGAGUGUUUACCUGGUACAUGCAAGGCCUUUGGUUCAAUUCCCAGCACUUUAAAAAAAAAAAAAAGAAAAAGUUUUUUCUUUUUAUUAUAAUCAUGUGCCAAUAAAAAAGUUAAACCAGGUAUAAUAUCACAUGCCUAUAAAGCCAGCACUUGGGAGGCUGAGGCAGGAGGACCACUGUGAGUGUGAGGCCAGCCCAGAAUACGUAAUGAGUUCAAGGCCACCCUAAAUGCCUGAACUAUAUAGUGAGACCGUCUCUCAAUAAAUAAAUAAAUAAAUAAAUAAAUAAAUAAAUAAAAAUCAAAGCAGAUAUUGUGGCAUGCGCCUGCAAUCCCAGCAUUCAGGAAGCUGAAGCAGGAGGAUCACCACAAAUUCAAGGGUAGCCUGGACUACAAAGUAAGUUUGAGGCCAGCCUGUGGUACAGUGUGAUCUCAAGGUUAGCCUGGAAUAUACUUAGCAAGACUCUGUGUCAAAAAAAAAAAAAAAAAAAAAAAAGAAAGAAAGAAAAGAAAAAAAAAUAAUCAGGAGGCAUUCCUCCCUAACUAAAUGUGUGAAAAUAAGGAUAUUGAGGAGUUGAUUUGCAGGACAUUUACCGUUGGUUCACCAGCUACUCAGGAGCUCUGGGUCCUUGGAAGCUCCUCAGUUUUGCUCUAAUGACUGAGAACACUGUGGUCCCAGUGGCAGGGAGACACCAAGGACGUGGCCUGCUAGCCAAAUGUAAGGCCCACAUGUUACAGGUGUUCCUGCAGGAAGAAAAAAUGCAAGGCGAAAGAAUUGGGUGGUUAAGCUUGGUUUAUAAAUGUUACAUGUCUUGGUCUUGUAGUACUGCUUUUUGUUAUUAAUAAAAAGGCUAUAUCCUGGGAUAAUA
Cavia porcellus (domestic guinea pig) is the source of this 6448-nucleotide long non-coding RNA. RefSeq lists it as uncharacterized. The transcript is spliced from 2 exons. The record is from RefSeq and is a predicted model, not a curated record. Lineage: Eukaryota; Metazoa; Chordata; Mammalia; Rodentia; Caviidae.